Molecule: ribosomal RNA, 700 nt
Filed under: uncultured bacterium
Lineage: Bacteria
Description: bacterial SSU rRNA
Rfam family: Bacterial small subunit ribosomal RNA
Source: RNAcentral
AGUGGCGGACGGGUGAGUAACACGUAAGAAUUUGCCUUUAGGAGGGGGACAACAACUGGAAACGGUUGCUAAUACCCCAUAUGCUUUCGAGUGAAAUGGAUUUCCGCCUAGAGAGAAGCUUGCGGCUGAUUAGCUUGUUGGUGAGGUAAUGGCUCACCAAGGCGACGAUCAGUAUCUGGUUUGAGAGGACGAUCAGACACACUGGAACUGAGACACGGUCCAGACUCUUACGGGAGGCAGCAGUGGGGAAUUUUCCGCAAUGGGCGAAAGCCUGACGGAGCAAUACCGCGUGAGGGAUGACGGCCUAUGGGUUGUAAACCUCUUUUUUCAGGGAGGAAUCAAUGACGUGUACCUGAAGAAUAAGCAUCGGCUAACUCCGUGCCAGCAGCCGCGGUAAGACGGAGGAUGCAAGUGUUAUCCGGAAUCACUGGGCGUAAAGCGUCUGUAGGUGGUCCAAUAAGUCAACUGUUAAAUCUUGAGGCUCAACCUCAAAAUCGCAGUCGAAACUAUUAGACUAGAGUAUAGUAGGGGUAAAGGGAAUUUCCAGUGGAGCGGUGAAAUGCGUAGAGAUUGGAAAGAACACCGAUGGCGAAGGCACUUUACUGGGCUAUUACUAACACUCAGAGACGAAAGCUAGGGUAGCAAAUGGGAUUAGAUACCCCAGUAGUCCUAGCCGUAAACAAUGGAUACUAGAUGUUGA